RNAcentral lists this non-coding RNA (219 nucleotides) under Peptostreptococcus anaerobius. RNAcentral describes it as "T-box sequence". It matches the Rfam family "T-box leader". From Rfam's summary of the family: Uncharged tRNA acts as the effector for transcription antitermination of genes in the T-box leader family. T-boxes are found upstream of many aminoacyl-tRNA synthetase genes and some amino acid biosynthetic genes usually in Gram-positive bacteria. Lineage: Bacteria; Bacillati; Bacillota; Clostridia; Peptostreptococcales; Peptostreptococcaceae. The record is from RNAcentral.
UAUAUGACUGUGAAGAGAAGAGUAGCAAGGAGUUCCUUAUCUAGCGAGCUGGUGGUGGUGUAAGUCCAGUAUAAUACUUUUUGUGAAGAACAUCUCUGAGUCCCUGACCAAAAGUUAGCGAGUAGGCUCAGGCGGAUAGGUUCCGAUAUAGACCUACUAAGUGACUAGCAUAGCUAGUAAUUAGGGUGGUACCGCGAUUAUACACACAUCGUCCCUUUG